This 45-nucleotide non-coding RNA is filed under the name Schistosoma mattheei. The record is from RNAcentral. Lineage: Eukaryota; Metazoa; Platyhelminthes; Trematoda; Strigeidida; Schistosomatidae.
AUGCAGUAGACGAGUCCCAAAUAGGACGAAACGCGCGUCCUGAAU